Non-coding RNA from Vicugna pacos (alpaca), 2774 nucleotides. NCBI's taxonomy places the organism in Eukaryota, Metazoa, Chordata, Mammalia, Artiodactyla, Camelidae. The record is from RefSeq and is a predicted model, not a curated record.
UCCGGCGGUCAUCUCGCGGUAACCUGGGCUCCACUGGCGCCAAAAUGUCGCUUGUAGCGGGAGUUAUCCGGCGGCUGGACGAGACAGUGGUGAAUCGAAUCGCGGCAGGGGAAGUUAUCCAGCGGCCGGCUAAUGCCAUCAAGGAAAUGAUUGAGAACUGUUUAGAUGCAAAAUCCACAAAUAUUCAAGUGGUUGUUAAAGAGGGAGGCCUGAAGUUGAUUCAGAUCCAAGACAAUGGCACUGGGAUCAGGAAAGAAGAUCUGGAUAUUGUAUGUGAGAGGUUCACCACAAGUAAACUGCAGUCCUUUGAGGAUUUAGCUCACAUCUCUACCUAUGGCUUUCGGGGCGAGGCUUUGGCCAGCAUAAGCCAUGUGGCUCACGUCACCAUUACAACCAAAACAACUGAUGGGAAGUGCGCAUACAGAGCACAAUACUCAGAUGGAAAGCUGAAAGCACCUCCCAAACCAUGUGCAGGCAAUCAAGGGACCCAGAUUACGGUGGAGGACCUUUUUUACAACAUAUCCACGAGGAGGAAAGCUUUAAAAAAUCCAAGUGAAGAGUAUGGAAAAAUUUUGGAAGUUGUUGGCAGGUAUGCAAUACACAAUUCAGGCAUUAGUUUCUCAGUUAAAAAACAAGGUGAGACGGCGACUGACGUCAGAACACUGCCCGGUGCCACGACCGUGGACAACAUCCGCUCCAUCUUUGGCAAUGCUGUUAGCCGAGAAUUGAUAGAAGUGAGAUGUGAGGAUAAAACCCUCGCCUUCAAAAUGAAUGGCUACAUAUCCAACGCAAACUACUCAGUGAAGAAGUGUAUCUUCUUACUCUUCAUCAACCAUCGUCUGGUAGAGUCACCGUCCUUAAGAAAAGCCAUAGAAACGGUGUACGCUGCAUAUUUGCCCAAAAACACGCACCCGUUCCUGUACCUCAGUUUAGAAAUCAGCCCCCAGAAUGUAGACGUCAACGUGCAUCCAACGAAGCACGAAGUUCACUUCCUGCAUGAAGACAGCAUCCUGGAGCGUGUGCAGCAGCACGUUGAGCACCAGCUCCUGGGCUCCAACGCCUCCAGGACGUACUUCACCCAGACUUUACUACCAGGUCUUGCUGGCCCCUCUGGGGAAGUGGUUAAAUCUACAGCGGGUGUGACCUCCUCAGCUGCUUCUGGAAGUGGCGACAAGGUCUAUGCCUACCAGAUGGUCCGCACAGAUUCCCGGGAGCAGAAGCUCGAUGCCUUCCUGCAGCCUGUGAGCAGGGCCCUGUCCAGUCAGCCCCAGGCUGAUGUCCCAGAGGACAGGACAGAUGCUUCUAGUAGCGGGGCCAGGCAGCAGGAUGAGGAAAUGCCUGAACUCCUAGCUCCUGCUGAAGCAGCUGCCAGUCAUCAGGGCCUGGAGAGGGAUGCAACAAAGAAGGCUUCAGAGUCAUCAGAGAAGAGAGGGCCACCUUCCAGCCCGGAGAACCCCAGAAAGCGACAUCGGGAAGGCUCUGACACGGAAACGGUGGACGAUGCAUCCCGAAAGGAAAUGACCGCAGCUUGUACCCCCCGGAGGAGGAUCAUUAACCUCACCAGCGUUCUGAGUCUCCAGGAAGAAAUUAACCAGCAGGGACAUGAGGCUCUCCGGGAGAUGCUGCGUGACCACUCCUUUGUGGGCUGUGUGAAUCCUCAGUGGGCCUUGGCACAACAUCAGACCAAGUUAUACCUUCUCAACACCACGAGACUUAGUGCGUCUAAGAGCAUGAUUUCCAAGGUGCCACAUCACAGUUGUUCAGGUCCUUCAUUUCACAGGUACAAAUCCAAGCCAGUCCCAGAAUCUCAGCUCCCGAUACAGUGUGAACAGUUUCCCAGGGAGACAGUGAACCACGUUGAGAGUGCAGUCUCUAGACUGAAUUCCUGCCCUUCCCACUUUCCUGACUCUGCCCCGGGACGCGGCAGUCACUGCGUGGGUGUCUCAGUGUCCCUGCUGUAACGCACCCAGAGCUGAUGCUUUCUCUCCUUUGAUAAGGAAAAGAAGGCUUUAAACAAGACCCCUGUGGUUCAGAUCACUUUCACAGCCACUGAGUAUCACUUACUUCGAUUCUGAGUUUUUGUAAGUAGUUCAGUGUAUCGUAUACUUCGCAGCUGCUUUUGGAACGUUGCCAGCCAGUGCAUAAACCCUACAUACACCAGAGUCGUCUCAUUCUGCCUUAUGUUCACUUCUCAUUACAUAGGCAUCUCCCUCCCCUCCCUGUGAGUCCCAUGUUUUUUAAAUGGCGAGUUGUAGAAGAAGUGAUUUAUGGGAUUCUUUUCAAGUGAGGAAAAGCUAAGCAAGCAAAAACUUAACCUUAUCACUACUGGGUGUCAAAACCUUUCACAACACCAGGGGGUGGGGACAGAGCAUGGGUGGUGACAAGCCAGAUGUAGUCCUAGUGCUCUGACCUGAGGCGGAGACCGGCCACCAUAGCCCCGGCCGGGGCCCCUGCUGGAGCCCUGGCUCCUGGUGGAACAGCAAGUCCCAGUGGAUGGUUAGAAAGGCCCCAAAUGAGGCAGAACAUCUCUGUCUCCUCCACGUGUCAGGUUCUCUCUCCCGUCUUGUCCCUCCUGCUUGGCUCUCAAGCAUGGAUUACUCAGCUCUUCCUUAACGUCACUGCGUUUUUAUUUUCAGUGAAGAACUGUUCUACCAGAUUCUCAUUUAUGAUUUUGCCAAUUUUGGUGUUCUGAGGUUCUCGGACCUUAGUACAAGGUUGAGCAGAAGUGGUGAGAAUGGAAAUCCUUCUCUUAUUCCUGAUCUCAGGGGGAAAGU